CCGAGUUUACAACUCCCAAACCCCUGUGAACAUACCUUUAUGUUGCCUCGGCGGAUCAGCCCCGCGCCCCGUAAAAACGGGACGGCCCGCCGCAGGAAACCCUAAACUCUGUUUUUAGUGGAACUUCUGAGUAUAAAAAACAAAUAAAUCA
This 151-nucleotide unclassified non-coding RNA is filed under the name soil metagenome. Its description in RNAcentral is "partial internal transcribed spacer 1". The record is from RNAcentral.